GACGGGGGCCCGCACAAGCGGAGGAACAUGUGGUUUAAUUCGAUGAUACGCGAGGAACCUUACCCGGGCUUGAACUGCAGGCGAACGAUACAGAGAUGUUGAGGCCCUUCGGGGCGCCUGUGGAGGUGCUGCAUGGUUGUCGUCAGCUCGUGCCGUGAGGUGUCGGCUUAAGUGCCAUAACGAGCGCAACCCCUUUCUCCAGUUGCCAUCAGGUGAUGCUGGGCACUCUGGAGACACUGCCACCGUAAGGUGUGAGGAAGGUGGGGAUGACGUCAAAUCAGCACGGCCCUUACGUCCGGGGCUACACACGUGUUACAAUGGGUGGUACAGAGAGUUGGUCGUCUGCAAAUGCGAUCUAAUCAUGAAAGCCAUCCUCAGUUCGGAUUGGGGUCUGCAACCCGACCCCAUGAAGCUGGAUUCGCUAGUAAUCGCGCAUCAGCCAUGGCGCGGUGAAUACGUUCCCGGGCCUUGUACACACCGCCCGUCAAGCCAUGAAAGCCGGGGGCGCCUGAAGUCCGUGACCGCGAGGGUCGGCCUAGGGUGAAACCGGUGAUGG
Molecule: ribosomal RNA, 556 nt
Filed under: uncultured bacterium
Lineage: Bacteria
Description: bacterial SSU rRNA
Rfam family: Bacterial small subunit ribosomal RNA
Source: RNAcentral